Molecule: ribosomal RNA, 636 nt
Filed under: uncultured bacterium
Lineage: Bacteria
Description: bacterial SSU rRNA
Rfam family: Bacterial small subunit ribosomal RNA
Source: RNAcentral
GACUAACACAUGCAAGUCGAACGGCAGCACAGUGUCUGGCAACAGACAUGGGUGGCGAGUGGCGGACGGGUGAGUAAUACGUAGGAAUCUACCCUAGAGUGGGGGGUAACCCGGGGAAACCCGGGCUAAUACCGCAUAAUCUCCACGGAGCAAAGCCGGGGUCGUAAGACCUGGCGCUCUAGGAUGAGCCUACGUCGGAUUAGCUUGUUGGUGAGGUAAAAGCUUACCAAGGUGACGAUCCGUAGCUGGUCUGAGAGGACGACCAGCCACACUGGGACUGAGACACGGCCCAGACUCCUACGGGAGGCAGCAGUGGGGAAUUUUGGACAAUGGGGGCAACCCUGAUCCAGCGAUGCCGCGUGUGUGAAGAAGGCCUUCGGGUUGUAAAGCACUUUUAGUGGGGAAGAAAGGCUUGAGGCUAAUACCCUUGAGCGUUGACAUUAUCCACAGAAAAAGCACCGGCUAACUCUGUGCCAGCAGCCGCGGUAAUACAGAGGGUGCUAGCGUUAAUCGGAAUUACUGGGCGUAAAGCGCGUGUAGGCGGAUAUUUAAGUCGGGUGUGAAAUCCCUGGGCUCNACCUGGGAAUUGCAUUCGAUACUGAGUAUCUAGAGUAUGGUAGAGGAGAGUGGAACUUC